GAGGGUAUAGCUCAGUGGUAUGGCACAUGUUUAGCACACACAAGGUCCUGGGUUCAAUCCCCAGUAUCUCCA
This 72-nucleotide transfer RNA is filed under the name Camelus bactrianus (Bactrian camel). It matches the Rfam family "tRNA". Rfam says of the family: Transfer RNA (tRNA) molecules are approximately 80 nucleotides in length. Their secondary structure includes four short double-helical elements and three loops (D, anti-codon, and T loops). Lineage: Eukaryota; Metazoa; Chordata; Mammalia; Artiodactyla; Camelidae. RNAcentral also lists the same sequence under 2 other names. The record is from Rfam by way of RNAcentral.